GGGGGGGNGNNNGGCCUNCCAAGGCGGUGACGNNNNNCCGGCCUGAGAGGGCGACCGGCCACACUGGGACUGAGACACGGCCCAGACUCCUACGGGAGGCAGCAGUGGGGAAUAUUGCACAAUGGGCGCAAGCCUGAUGCAGCGACGCCGCGUGAGGGAUGACGGCCUUCGGGUUGUAAACCUCUUUCGCCAGGGACGAAGCGGGAGUGACGGUACCUGGAGAAGAAGCACCGGCUAACUACGUGCCAGCAGCCGCGGUAAUACGUAGGGUGCGAGCGUUGUCCGGAAUUAUUGGGCGUAAAGAGCUCGUAGGCGGUGUGUCGCGUCUGCCGUGAAAACCUCAGGCUUAACUUGGGGCGUGCGGUGGAUACGGGCAUCACUUGAGUUCGGUAGGGGAGACUGGAAUUCCUGGUGUAGCGGUGGAAUGCGCAGAUAUCAGGAGGAACACCGGUGGCGAAGGCGGGUCUCUGGGCCGAUACUGACGCUGAGGAGCGAAAGCGUGGGGAGCGAACAGGAUUAGAUACCCUGGUAGUCCACGCUGUAAACGUUGGGCGCUAGGUGUGGGGUGCUGUUCACGUGUCCCGUGCCGUAGCUAACGCAUUAAGCGCCCCGCCUGGGGAGUACGGA
RNAcentral lists this ribosomal RNA (627 nucleotides) under Prauserella sp. AE-10. Its description in RNAcentral is "bacterial SSU rRNA". It matches the Rfam family "Bacterial small subunit ribosomal RNA", at positions 251 to 886 of the family's 1533-position model. Lineage: Bacteria; Bacillati; Actinomycetota; Actinomycetes; Pseudonocardiales; Pseudonocardiaceae. The record is from RNAcentral.